UGGCGGCGUGCUUAACACAUGCAAGUCGAACGAGGGUUAUGAGGAGCUUGCUCCGAGGUGACCCGAGUGGCGGACGGGUGAGUAACGCGUGAGGAACCUGUCUUACACAGGGGGAUAACGCACCGAAAGGUGUGCUAAUACCGCAUAAGACCACGCUACCGCAUGGUAGAGGGUCAAAGGAGCGAUCCGGUGUAAGGUGGCCUCGCGUCCCAUUAGGCAGUUGGCGGGGUAACGGCCCACCAAACCGACGAUGGGUAGCCGACCUGAGAGGGUGAUCGGCCACAUUGGAACUGAGAGACGGUCCAAACUCCUACGGGAGGCAGCAGUGGGGAAUAUUGGGCGAAUGGGCGCAAGCCUCGACCCAGCAACGCCGCGUGAGGGAAGGAAGGUUUUCGGUAUUGUAAACCUCUGUCCUCAAUGAAAAGACAAGAGAUGGUAAUUGAGGAGGAAGCCCGGCUAACUACGUGCCAGCCGCUGC
RNAcentral lists this ribosomal RNA (478 nucleotides) under uncultured bacterium. Its description in RNAcentral is "bacterial SSU rRNA". It matches the Rfam family "Bacterial small subunit ribosomal RNA", at positions 37 to 518 of the family's 1533-position model. The record is from RNAcentral.